AGGCAAACCAGAGAGAGAGGGAGCCUAAAGAAGUGAUAUUCCACCCUGCGUGCUUUGAACGUGGUGACCGAAUCAAAAACAAAGUCCUUCAGAUCUCUCUGGGGCUAAAGGGAAACUGCUAAAAUACCCUUUUAGCCUCUUCUUGCAAGACAUAUCAGAGAUCUCAGGGGAAGCUUGUUGUCCUUCUUCUUCCAGCCAAGUUCCAUAGUCAGAGGAACUCUGGAUAACUUCUAAUUUACCCUUUGAAUCUUAAAACAUCGCUUCAAAAUUGGCGAUGCUGGCGGUAACCUUUGGUGCCGCGGCGGGAAGGAAACACCGAAAGUGUUAUCACCGGGAAGACAAGAGGGUCGGUCUGUCCUGCGGCAGGUAAGCGUUCACGGCGUCGCUGUCACUGCUUUCGCUGCAGAGGGGGGUGAGGUGCGGGGAGGACGCGGCUCUGCGGGGGGAAAAGACCCCGGAGGCAUCUGCGGUGCCGCGGUUUAAAAGCGGCCGAGGACGAUGCGCAAGGGACAGAGCGG
This is a long non-coding RNA of Corapipo altera (White-ruffed manakin), 518 nucleotides long. RefSeq lists it as uncharacterized. The transcript is spliced from 3 exons. The record is from RefSeq and is a predicted model, not a curated record. Lineage: Eukaryota; Metazoa; Chordata; Aves; Passeriformes; Pipridae.